RNAcentral lists this ribosomal RNA (1538 nucleotides) under Salmonella enterica. RNAcentral's name for it is "bacterial SSU rRNA". It matches the Rfam family "Bacterial small subunit ribosomal RNA". RNAcentral also lists the same sequence under 2 other names. The record is from RNAcentral. Lineage: Bacteria; Pseudomonadati; Pseudomonadota; Gammaproteobacteria; Enterobacterales; Enterobacteriaceae.
UGAAGAGUUUGAUCAUGGCUCAGAUUGAACGCUGGCGGCAGGCCUAACACAUGCAAGUCGAACGGUAACAGGAAGCAGCUUGCUGCUUUGCUGACGAGUGGCGGACGGGUGAGUAAUGUCUGGGAAACUGCCUGAUGGAGGGGGAUAACUACUGGAAACGGUGGCUAAUACCGCAUAACGUCGCAAGACCAAAGAGGGGGACCUUCGGGCCUCUUGCCAUCAGAUGUGCCCAGAUGGGAUUAGCUUGUUGGUGAGGUAACGGCUCACCAAGGCGACGAUCCCUAGCUGGUCUGAGAGGAUGACCAGCCACACUGGAACUGAGACACGGUCCAGACUCCUACGGGAGGCAGCAGUGGGGAAUAUUGCACAAUGGGCGCAAGCCUGAUGCAGCCAUGCCGCGUGUAUGAAGAAGGCCUUCGGGUUGUAAAGUACUUUCAGCGGGGAGGAAGGUGUUGUGGUUAAUAACCGCAGCAAUUGACGUUACCCGCAGAAGAAGCACCGGCUAACUCCGUGCCAGCAGCCGCGGUAAUACGGAGGGUGCAAGCGUUAAUCGGAAUUACUGGGCGUAAAGCGCACGCAGGCGGUCUGUCAAGUCGGAUGUGAAAUCCCCGGGCUCAACCUGGGAACUGCAUUCGAAACUGGCAGGCUUGAGUCUUGUAGAGGGGGGUAGAAUUCCAGGUGUAGCGGUGAAAUGCGUAGAGAUCUGGAGGAAUACCGGUGGCGAAGGCGGCCCCCUGGACAAAGACUGACGCUCAGGUGCGAAAGCGUGGGGAGCAAACAGGAUUAGAUACCCUGGUAGUCCACGCCGUAAACGAUGUCUACUUGGAGGUUGUGCCCUUGAGGCGUGGCUUCCGGAGCUAACGCGUUAAGUAGACCGCCUGGGGAGUACGGCCGCAAGGUUAAAACUCAAAUGAAUUGACGGGGGCCCGCACAAGCGGUGGAGCAUGUGGUUUAAUUCGAUGCAACGCGAAGAACCUUACCUGGUCUUGACAUCCACGGAAGUUUUCAGAGAUGAGAAUGUGCCUUCGGGAACCGUGAGACAGGUGCUGCAUGGCUGUCGUCAGCUCGUGUUGUGAAAUGUUGGGUUAAGUCCCGCAACGAGCGCAACCCUUAUCCUUUGUUGCCAGCGGUCCGGCCGGGAACUCAAAGGAGACUGCCAGUGAUAAACUGGAGGAAGGUGGGGAUGACGUCAAGUCAUCAUGGCCCUUACGACCAGGGCUACACACGUGCUACAAUGGCGCAUACAAAGAGAAGCGACCUCGCGAGAGCAAGCGGACCUCAUAAAGUGCGUCGUAGUCCGGAUUGGAGUCUGCAACUCGACUCCAUGAAGUCGGAAUCGCUAGUAAUCGUGGAUCAGAAUGCCACGGUGAAUACGUUCCCGGGCCUUGUACACACCGCCCGUCACACCAUGGGAGUGGGUUGCAAAAGAAGUAGGUAGCUUAACCUUCGGGAGGGCGCUUACCACUUUGUGAUUCAUGACUGGGGUGAAGUCGUAACAAGGUAACCGUAGGGGAACCUGCGGUUGGAUCACCUCCUUA